RNAcentral lists this non-coding RNA (91 nucleotides) under Cyclophora tenuis. The record is from RNAcentral. Lineage: Eukaryota; Bacillariophyta; Fragilariophyceae; Cyclophorales; Cyclophoraceae.
GGAGUCGAAGAAAGCCAAGAAGAAGAAGAAAAAGAAAGGAAAGAAAAAAUAGGGUCCUAUAGUAAAUCCUGUGUUGUUCCUGACGCUUUCU